CUCAGAUCUGAUCUUGAAUCUUCUAGAUAUUCACCCUAAAAACCCUAUCUAAAAUGGAGAAGAAGAGGAGGAGGAGGCGGGUGAGGAAGAAGGCUGCAAUGGAUGUGUUUUCGGUGCCCAUAUUUGACCCCUUUUAAUGGCCUCCGAAUUUUCAUUCAAAAUUUAUUUUUAGAAAACCUCCUUUAGUUGGCGCAUGCUAAGGAAUAGGAACAACCUAAAUCAGAUCUCAACCAAAUCUGAUUUAAAUUCAAAUUUUAAACACAUGUGCAAGAGGGGAGGAAUUUGAAAUCCAUGCAGCAGAAUUUUUCUACCUCUUGUCGCAUAUAUUUCAUUUGAAAUUCGAAUUUAAAUGAUUCAGAGGUUCACACGCAAGCUAGGGAAGUUAUUUGAUGUAUGAAAUCAUUUAAUAUAUUGCUUAAUGUUUGAAUUCAAAUUCAAACAACAAACAAUGUCGCCAUGUGUCAAGCAAUGGGUCCAUGCGCCAUGCAAUAAUUUUGGUUUAUUUAAAAUUCAUGAAAUCCAAUUCCAUGUUACCACUAAUUGCCACAUCAUCUGAGCCUAAUCCUCUUGGGUUGCACCUAAUCAAAUUUGGUCAAACCCGGAUUAAAACAAAGCAAUUUGGUUGAACCCAAUCUAAUCAGGUCAGACCCUGAUUGAGCUCAAAUUGAAUCCAAUUCAAUUUUUGGCUCAUCCAAACUCAAUCAAAUUGAAUUAAUUACUUUGUGUUGGACCUAAUCCAAUUAGGUAAAUCCCCAAUUAAGAACAAAUUAAUUUAAAAUUAAUUUGAUCAGCUUAAGUCCUUUUUGGUUCUGACCUAAU
Molecule: long non-coding RNA, 819 nt
Filed under: Phoenix dactylifera (date palm)
Lineage: Eukaryota; Viridiplantae; Streptophyta; Magnoliopsida; Arecales; Arecaceae
Description: long non-coding RNA (PDAC_LNC013652)
Source: RNAcentral